This 65-nucleotide transfer RNA is filed under the name Polleniopsis mongolica. Its description in RNAcentral is "tRNA-Ile". The record is from RNAcentral. Lineage: Eukaryota; Metazoa; Arthropoda; Insecta; Diptera; Calliphoridae.
AAUGAAUUGCCUGAUUAAAGGAUUAUCUUGAUAGGAUAAAUUAUGUAAUAAUAUUACAUUCAUUA